This 73-nucleotide transfer RNA is filed under the name Lactobacillus sp. Sy-1. RNAcentral's name for it is "tRNA-Lys". It matches the Rfam family "tRNA". From Rfam's summary of the family: Transfer RNA (tRNA) molecules are approximately 80 nucleotides in length. Their secondary structure includes four short double-helical elements and three loops (D, anti-codon, and T loops). Lineage: Bacteria; Bacillati; Bacillota; Bacilli; Lactobacillales; Lactobacillaceae. The record is from RNAcentral. RNAcentral also lists the same sequence under 10 other names.
GAGCCGUUAGCUCAGCCGGUAGAGCAUCUGACUUUUAAUCAGAGGGUCGGGAGUUCGAACCUCCCACGGCUCA